CCCGGAAGUAAGGGCAGGCCAUGCACGGGAUUGGACACCAUUGCAGCCGGUACCACCACCGCCACCUAGAUCAUGCUUCGUCCUCUCUGGUUGCCCAGGCGACAAGCAGCGUUCGCGCGCUCCUCCAGGCUCCAUGGCUCUGCCCUAGACGUGUCAUUCCAUUUCUGCUCAGAAGAUUAUCCAGAGUACAAACUGUCCAAAGAAUGAGAAAACAUUCAAAGCAGAGGUGAACAUUCUGCACACUUUAAAAGUGCUCUGAGAGGAAACUGGGAAGAAUUCUGCAAGCAUGAGAGUGUGGCCACAGGAACACAGAGUUUGCUGGGCCAGGCCUACACAUGGAAUAACUUGAUGUCAAUCUGGUUUUGUGCAUAUUGCAGGAAACAGAAUUUGCCCUGUUUUCUAAAGGCAAGGUAAUGUGCAAUUAGUGAUUAAUCCAUAUCAAUAGAUAGCUACCCUGAAUUUCCUUGGAAAGAAUUCCUCCCCUCACCCUAAUGCCCCAUUCCCAAAGUCACAGUAAAAGCAAAACUCUUCACAAGGCCUAUACAACCUGUCUUCAUCUUCUGCUGUAUUCUCCCUCUCUGUUCACACUGGCCUCCUGGCCAUUCCUGGAAUACCCUAGCCUCAGAGUCCUUGCACUUCUUCCCUUUGCCUGGGAGAGAAACAGAGCCAGCUCCAUCACCUUUCUUGGUGUUCUUCCCCUAUCCUGUUAAAAUGGCGCACUUACACCCUCCUCCACUCUCUCCUCCUUGCUCUCUGUUUCUCCUUGGCACCAUCACCUUCUAACAUAUAAUUUAUUGAUUUGGUUCCUUGUUUUUCCAUAAGGGCAGGGAUUUGUGUGUUUUACUCAUUCCUGUGUCCCAAGUACCUAGAACAGAGCCUGGUACCUAGUAGUACACUGUGGAAGGGCUGUCAAUGAAUCCACAUACUCACCAGUUCAGCAGGCCAGUCCUUACCCCCAGUGAAGUUAUUUCUAGCACAGUCCUCUCUGAGAGCUUGAUUCAAGAGAAACAUUUCACACGAUUCUUUCAACAUGAGAGACAAUGUAUCAUUGGCUUGGAUUAAUGAGCCAGCAUCAGCCAGAUCAUCAAAUUACCUACAUAAUGUAAUAUCAGAAGGGAGUGUAAUGUCACUGUCUUGGUACUCCUGUAAAUUGAGCCAAAGACUGUUGAUUUUUUAACUUACAGAAUAAAGUACUAGGCUGCUUAAAAUGUCUAGUUUACAAUAUCUUUUUUUUUUUUCAGGAAUCUUUACAUGACACUGCUACACAUUUUAUCACUGACAAUAUUUUGACAUAAGCCUUAUUUUUCCCUAACAGGGAUUUUAUUUUAGUGAUGGGCCCAAGUAUUAUCUUUUCUUCCCACUUUUCUAGUUUCUUUAAUAAGCAAAUAUUACUUUAAGAAAUGACUUUUUGUGCUUUCUACUAAGUCUGCAAAACUCUUUCAUAUGGCAGAGAAACAUUUUUAAAAUCCAUGUUCAAGUUCAUAUCUCUUGUCAAAAUCCCUGGGAAAGCUGAUUGUUUAAAGAACUGACAAUCCCAUCAAAAGAUAAAAGGGAGGAUUUGGGAUUUGGCAAGAUUAUCAGAAUUGAGGACUUUCUCAUCCAACGAUCCAAACGUAUUUUUAGGAAACUGACUGGAGAGUAGGACUUGACUUUGUAAUCCAGCCACCUGAGGGCCUGUGGACAAUGAACCUUUGGGGUUCUGAGAAGCUUCUGUGAUGCAAUGAAUGCUUUAUUCUGCAUCCAAGGAUGUGGGUGGAGUGGUCACUUUAACUCAAAAAAGAAAUGAUACAACUCUGGCUAUGCAUGAGAUAUUAGGAUCAAAAGUUAAAAGAUUGUUAAAGUAUACAUAAUACAUAAAAGUGCUUCAUUUGCAGUGAAAAGCUCUGCAAGUAUUUGGUGCUGAUGUUUCUAAUUAGCUGGACCCUUAAUUUAUCAGGAGAAAUGAGUUUAAACAUUAGAACUAGUUGUGUGGCUUCAAACCAGUCACUCUACCUUUCUAGUGUUUUCUAGUUCAAUGGAGACCUGUUUGACCUUACUUACCUUAUACAGUUAUUUAGAAGCUAAUAUAGUUGUGGAAAUGUUUUAGAAAUCACAAUGCACAAAACAUCUGAGGUGUUAUUAUGCAGCCUUCCCUAUGGUCCGGGCCUCCUGGAAUCUUAAAAUAUAGUGAAUACCUCUUCCAGUGAGAAUCUGGUUAGGUAAGAAAAGCCCUUACCCUAGAUAGCUGUGCUCCCAAAGUUAAUACUGAAAUGAAUUAUCUUUUUAAUGCAGUGAUUCCCUUCUGUUAUUUCUAUAAUAAUUCCACAAAGGAUAUGGUUAUUUUUUUAAGGAGGUAGCCAGAGUGCAGCAUGCUGUUUUUAACUUACCACGUCAGGAACCUGUACUCAGGUUGGAACCACACAUCCCCUUCCUUGAAGGAUGGGACUUUAUGUACCUGGGAAGCCUCUACUGCUUGUGGAAAUUUAGGGCUUCUCUGUGUAUCUGGAUGUGUCAAGGAUCCCCAGGACUGAGUUAAAACAACUAGAGGGCAGUGAGAAGGGUUGGAGAAGUAGCAGGAGUAACAGUAAGUAGAGGCAGCUUUAGGAUGACUGCCUUGCUACAGGGGAAGAUGUUUCUAACCUCUGGAGGUAAAGGGGAGAGACAGCUUAAUCCUUCUGAAGACGUUCUGGCCCAAACCAGGUCCCAGCCUCCUGCCCCUCAGGCUGUGAUUGGAACCACGACCUGGGAAGAGGGACCCUUCAUGGCCCAAGGAAAAGAUGCUGGUCCUCAUUUAGCAGACAGCAGACUCUUUGCCCGCAAGGUGUGUUGUUCCUCACUGUGGCAUCUCCAGAGCCAACGCAGUGCCUGUCACCAAUAGGUGCUCAAUAAAUUCUUGCUAAAUCAAUAAUUGGAGAGUGGUUAAACUGGUAACAACAGAAGCAUUUUCAAACUGCUUAGGGCCCCUGCUGGGGGCCCUAAAAAAAGGGUUUGGGUAAGAGCGACAACCAUAAUUGGACCAGUGGAGCCUCUAGCCAUAGAAAUGUUGUUUUCUUAGUGAUUGUGACAGUACCGCAGCCUGAAGCUGCAGUAGCCUAGAGAAUCACCUCUUACACAGCUAUUUCAAUCUGUGACGGCUACAAAAUUAGUUGGUUGAUAGAUGCCACAUUUCACAACACGUACAUUGUAAUACCUGCUAUAGUUGAUUUCAUAAUUCAUAAUUUUUACAUUUAAAAAAUUGUAGACAGGGCCGGGCACAGUGGCUCAAGCCUGUAAUCCGAGCACUUUGGGAGGCCAAGGCGGGUGGAUCACGAGGUCAAGAGAUCAAGACCAUCCUGGUCAACAUGGUGAAACCCCGUCUCUACUAAAAAUACAAAAAAAUUAGCUGGGCAUGGUGGCACAUGCCUGUAAUCCCAGCUACUUGGGAGGCUGAGGCAGAAUUGCUUGAACCCAGGAGGCGGAGGUUGCGGUGAGCCGAGAUCACGCCAUUGCACUCCAGCCUGGGUAACAAGAGUGAAACUCCGUCUCAAAAAAAAAAAAAUUGUAGCCAAUAAAUAUUGUGAAAUCUUUUACAUUAUUAUCUAUGAAACUAGGAGUAUUUAAUUAUAUUGAAAUCUUCAGAGAAACCAACUUCAUAGGUUUUUGUGGAGAAGCAAUUUGUUCUACUCAUGAGUAGGUAUUAGGAUGUGUAUGUGUAUAUAUGUGUAUGGGGGUCUGGGUUUAGAGAUUUUUUAAAAGCUUUUAUACUUUCCUGCUUCUUGAUGGAUGUAGAGUGUCUUGACCUCCUUUUCCUGGCAAUGUUUAUAUAAAUAAAACCUUUUAGAGGGGUUUUAUUAUGUAAAUAAAUAUAAAUAAAACCUUAUAA
This is a non-coding RNA of Callithrix jacchus (white-tufted-ear marmoset), 3841 nucleotides long. NCBI's taxonomy places the organism in Eukaryota, Metazoa, Chordata, Mammalia, Primates, Cebidae. The record is from RefSeq and is a predicted model, not a curated record.